This 533-nucleotide ribosomal RNA is filed under the name uncultured bacterium. RNAcentral's name for it is "bacterial SSU rRNA". It matches the Rfam family "Bacterial small subunit ribosomal RNA", at positions 396 to 922 of the family's 1533-position model. The record is from RNAcentral.
UACGCGUGUGUGAAGAAGGCCUUAGGGUUGUAAAGCACUUUCAAUUGGAAGGAAAAACUCAUGGCCAAUACCCGUGAGCUUGACAUUACCUUUAGAAGAAGCACCGGCUAACUCCGUGCCAGCAGCCGCGGUAAUACGGAGGGUGCAAGCGUUAAUCGGAAUUACUGGGCGUAAAGCGUGCGUAGGCGGCUCGCUAAGUCAGAUGUGAAAGCCCCGGGCUCAACCUGGGAACGGCAUUUGAAACUGGCAAGCUAGAGUUUAGGAGAGGAGAGUGGAAUUUCAGGUGUAGCGGUGAAAUGCGUAGAGAUCUGAAGGAACACCAGUGGCGAAGGCGACUCUCUGGCCUAAAACUGACGCUGAGGUACGAAAGCGUGGGUAGCAAACAGGAUUAGAUACCCUGGUAGUCCACGCCGUAAACGAUGUCAACUAGCCGUUGGCUCUCUUAGAGAGUUAGUGGCGCAGCUAACGCAUUAAGUUGACCGCCUGGGGAGUACGGACGCAAGGUUUAAACUCCAAUGAAUCGACGGGGGGCC